GUCCCUUCGGGGACAUUCGAUAAAAUUGAAACAAUGCAGAGAAGAUUAGCAUGAUUUUUGCGCAAAUUAAAAAAACACACAAAAAUUGAGAAAUAAUUUAAAUUUUU
Molecule: non-coding RNA, 107 nt
Organism: Solanum lycopersicum (tomato)
Lineage: Eukaryota; Viridiplantae; Streptophyta; Magnoliopsida; Solanales; Solanaceae
Source: Rfam